UCCGGUCAUACCAUAUUGAAACAACGGUUCUCCUGUGAUCAUCGGACUUAAGCAGCAUCGAACCUGGUCAGUACCUAGAUGGGUGACCACUUGGAAAUACCAGGUGCUGUAAG
Molecule: non-coding RNA, 113 nt
Organism: Acanthosepion pharaonis
Lineage: Eukaryota; Metazoa; Mollusca; Cephalopoda; Sepiida; Sepiidae
Source: the annotation of a GenBank genome assembly